AGCGAACGCUGGCGGCAGGCUUAACACAUGCAAGUCGAGCGGGCCUUACGGGGUCAGCGGCGGACGGGUGAGUAACGCGUGGGAACGUGCCCUCUGGUUCGGAAUAACUCAGGGAAACUUGAGCUAAUACCGGAUACGCCCUUUUGGGGAAAGGCUUGCUGCCGGAGGAUCGGCCCGCGUCUGAUUAGCUAGUUGGUGAGGUAACGGCUCGCCAAGGCGACGAUCAGUAGCUGGUCUGAGAGGAUGAUCAGCCACACUGGGACUGAGACACGGCCCAGACUCCUACGGGAAGCAGCAGUGGGGAAUAUUGGACAAUGGGCGCAAGCCUGAUCCAGCCAUGCCGCGUGAGUGAUGAAGGCCUUAGGGUUGUAAAGCUCUUUUAUCCGGGACGAUAAUGACGGUACCGGAGGAAUAAGCCCCGGCUAACUUCGUG
RNAcentral lists this ribosomal RNA (433 nucleotides) under uncultured bacterium. RNAcentral describes it as "partial 16S ribosomal RNA". It matches the Rfam family "Bacterial small subunit ribosomal RNA", at positions 29 to 507 of the family's 1533-position model. The record is from RNAcentral.